UACAAAUUGAGAGGGUGUCUAU
Molecule: non-coding RNA, 22 nt
Filed under: Arabidopsis thaliana (thale cress)
Lineage: Eukaryota; Viridiplantae; Streptophyta; Magnoliopsida; Brassicales; Brassicaceae
Source: RNAcentral